This 258-nucleotide long non-coding RNA is filed under the name Homo sapiens (human). RNAcentral's name for it is "non-protein coding lnc-THUMPD3-11:1". Lineage: Eukaryota; Metazoa; Chordata; Mammalia; Primates; Hominidae. The record is from RNAcentral.
UAUUCACUCUAUUUAAAGUCUGCUCUUGUUUCUUGCCUUUUCCUUUGUUUACUUAAUCUUUUCAUGACUAAUGAAUUUUCUGCCUAGAAAUUGUAAAGGAAAAGACAGGCAAGAUUUUUUUUAGAGAUACGGAUACCUUGUAUGAUACUGCUCACAAAUUUCCUGACAGAAGUGUUUUCGCUUAUGCCUUUUUAGCAAGAAUAGCAAAAUGGAUAUAUAUGUAUGUAUGAGACACUCCUGGAAAUUACAAUAGCAUCC